GAGGCUAUAUACAGGGGGUACCAGUACAGAGUCAAUGUGGAGGCUAUAUACAGGGGGUACCAGUACAGAGUCAAUGUGGAGGCUAUAUACAGGGGGGUACCAGUACAGAGUCAAUGUGGAGGCUAUAUACAGGGGGGUACCAGUACAGAGUCAAUGUGGAGGCUAUAUACAGGGGGGUACCGGUACAGAGUCAAUGUGGAGGCUAUAUACAGGGGGUACCAGUACAGAGUCAAUGUGGAGGCUAUAUACAGGGGGUACCAGUACAGAGUCAAUGUGGAGACUAUAUACAGGGGGUACCGGUACAGAGUCAAUGUGGAGGCUAUAUACAGGGGGGUACCGGUACAGAGUCAAUGUGGAGGCUAUAUACAGGGGGUACCAGUACAGAGUCAAUGUGGAGGCUAUAUACAGGGGGUACCGGUACAGAGUCAAUGUGGAGGCUAUAUACAGGGGGCACCAGUACAGAGUCAGUGUGGAGACUAUAUACAGGGGGUACCGGUACAGAGUCAGUGUGGAGACUAUAUACAGGGGGUACCAGUACAGAGUCAAUGUGGAGGCUAUAUACAGGGGGUACCAGUACAGAGUCAAUGUGGAGGCUAUAUACAGGGGGUACCGGUACAGAGUCAAUGUGGAGGCUAUAUACAGGGGGUACCGGUACAGAGUCAAUGUGGAGGCUAUAUACAGGGGGUACCAGUACAGAGUCAAUGUGGAGGCUAUAUACAGGGGGUACCGGUACAGAGUCAAUGUGGAGGCUAUAUACAGGGGGUACCAGUACAGAGUCAAUGUGGAGGCUAUAUACAGGGGGUACCGGUACCGAGUCAGUGUGGAGGCUAUAUACAGGGGGUACCAGUACAGAGUCAAUGUGGAGGCUAUAUACAGGGGGUACCAGUACAGAGUCAAUGUGGAGGCUAUAUACAGGGGGUACCAGUACAGAGUCAAUGUGGAGGCUAUAUACAGGGGGUACCAGUACAGAGUCAAUGUGGAGGCUAUAUACAGGGGGUACCGGUACAGAGUCAGU
Molecule: long non-coding RNA, 1015 nt
Filed under: Salmo salar (Atlantic salmon)
Lineage: Eukaryota; Metazoa; Chordata; Actinopteri; Salmoniformes; Salmonidae
Description: lncRNA (ENSSSAG00000093238.1)
Source: RNAcentral